AUUGAACGCUGGCGGCAUGCUUUACACAUGCAAGUCGAACGGUAACAGGCCGCAAGGUGCUGACGAGUGGCGAACGGGUGAGUAAUGCAUCGGAACGUGCCCAGACGUGGGGGAUAACUACUCGAAAGAGUAGCUAAUACCGCAUACGAUCUAUGGAUGAAAGCGGGGGACCGUAAGGCCUCGCGCGAUUGGAGCGGCCGAUGUCAGAUUAGGUAGUUGGUGGGGGAAAGGCUCACCAAGCCAACGAUCUGUAGCUGGUCUGAGAGGACGACCAGCCACACUGGAGCUGAGACACGGCCCAGACUCCUACGGGAGGCAGCAGUGGGGAAUUUUGGACAAUGGGCGCAAGCCUGAUCCAGCAAUGCCGCGUGCAGGAAGAAGGCCUUCGGGUUGUAAACUGCUUUUGUACGGAACGAAACGGCUCUGGUUAAUACCCGGGGCUAAUGACGGUACCGUAAGAAUAAGCACCGGCUAACUACGUG
This 482-nucleotide ribosomal RNA is filed under the name uncultured bacterium. RNAcentral's name for it is "partial 16S ribosomal RNA". It matches the Rfam family "Bacterial small subunit ribosomal RNA", at positions 30 to 507 of the family's 1533-position model. The record is from RNAcentral.